CGGCGCGCCGCUGAGGCGGUGGGAAAUAUGGCGGCGCGCAGUAGGGGCCGUGCGGAAGGAGGAGGAGUGAGGAAAAAAAACGGCGGAGGCCCCUCAGUACCGGGCCUCGGGAAAAACUGGCAGCUGGUGAGUUGGUGUGGCCCUGCAGAGGGGGACGUGGCAAAGUUGAGAGUUCAAAACAUCCCUGAGUGAUUCCCGAGACCUCAGAGGGGUAAGAAGGGCUCCCCAUGGGCUCUGUGUGAGGGAUUUAUGGGGAAAAAAAGGGGAAAAAAGGAAAAAAGCAGCAAAAUAGAAAAGAGAGGGGGCACCUGGAGUUGAACCAGGGACCUCUUGAUCUGCAGUCAAAUGCUCUGCCACUGAGCUAUACCCCCUGGGACACUGCUGGGAAAAACAGCAAUAAAAUCCAUGGAAAAAUAGAAAAAAUUAUAUUAAAAAGAGCAGUAAAAUCCCUGAAAAAAAAUAAGUUAAAUAAAAAUAAAAAUGAGAAAAAAAAUCCCUGAAAAAAAUUUUUAAAAUUUUAUAAAAAAGAGCAAUAAAAUCCCUGAAAAAUGUAAAAAAAAUUGUAAAAAAGAGAAAUAAAAUCCCUGAAAAAAAUUUUUAAAAACUUUUAAAAAGAGCAGUAAAAUCCCUGAAAAAUUUGUAAAAAAAGUAUUAAAAAGAGCAAUAAAAUCUCUGAAAGAAAAAAUUUUUUAAAAAUUAUUAAAAGGAGCAAUAAAAUCCCUGAAAGAAAAAAUUUUUAAAAAUAUAUAAAAUAGAGCAAUAAAAUUCCUGAAAAAAAUUUAAAAAAAAAUAUAAAAAAGAGCAAUAAAAUAAUUUCUGCACAGGACAAGGAAAAAUGUCUGCAGGCACAGACACCGUGGGUAUAAAAAGGGGAAAUCUCAUUUUUUAAUGGAAAAAAAGGAGAAAAGAGAGGGGGCACCUGGAGUUGAACCAGGGACCUCUUGAUCUGCAGUCAAAUGCUCUCCCACUGAGCUAUACCCCCUGGGACAGUGCUGGGAAAAACAGCAAUAAAAUCCAUGGAAAAAUAGAAAAUAUUAUAUUAAAAAGAGGAAUAAAAUCCCUGAAAAAAAAUAAAUUAAAAAAAAAUAAAAAUGAGAAAUAAAAUCCCUGAAAAAAAUCUAAAAAGGUAUUAAAAACAGCAAUAAAAUCCCUGAAAAAAUGUAAAAAUAAUUGUAAAAAAGAGCAAUAAAAUCCCUGAAAAAAUGUAAGAAAAAAAAACUGUAAAAAACAGCAAUAAAAUCCCUGAAAAAAAAAAUUAAAAAAUAUAUAAAAAAGAGUAAUAAAAUCCUUGAAAAAAAAUUUAAAACAUUAUAAAAAAGAGCAAUAAAAUCCCUGAAAGAAAAAUUUUUAAAAGUAUAUAAAAUAGAGCAAUAAAAUCCCUGAAAAAAAAUUAUAACAAAGAGCAAUAAAAUCCCUGAAAAAAAAUUUAAAAAUUAUAAGAAACAGCAGUAAAAUCCCUGAAAAAAUUUUUUAAAAAUUAUAAAAUAGAGUAAUAAAAUUCCCGAAUCCCAGCUCGGGUUUUAUUCCCAUUACAGGUAAAUGUCCCAGGCACAUCUGCACAGAAACAAAUUCUGUGUCUGGGCUUUGUCACUGCCCCAGAGGUUGGGUUCCUGCAGGAUUUGUGUCCUUCAGGGCUCAGAUUUUAAUCCUGCAGUUUUUAAUUCUGCAGGCACAGAAACCGUGGGUAUAAAAAAGGGGAAAUCUCAUUUUUUAAUGGAAAAAAAGGAGAAAAGAGAGAGGGGGCACCUGGAGUUGAACCAGGGACCUCUUGAUCUGCAGUCAAAUGCUCUCCCACUGAGCUAUACCCCCUGGGACAGUGCUGGGAAAAACAGAAAUAAAAUCCAUGGAAAAAUAGAAAAAAUUAUAUAAAAAAGAGCAGUAAAAUCCCUGAAAAAAUGUAAAAAAAAUUGUAAAAAAGAGAAAUAAAAUCCCUGAAA
Molecule: long non-coding RNA, 1937 nt
Organism: Prinia subflava (tawny-flanked prinia)
Lineage: Eukaryota; Metazoa; Chordata; Aves; Passeriformes; Cisticolidae
Exons: 2
Source: RefSeq, a predicted model, not a curated record